AUUAAUAAAACAAUGAACUUAUAAUAAAAUGAACUGACAUAGCGACUUCGGUUGCUAUUCUUUUGAAUUUAUAUAAAAAACCACAUAAGUAAAUUUAUUGGUUGAUAUUAAACU
This 114-nucleotide unclassified non-coding RNA is filed under the name Phialina sp. 1 FG-2017. Its description in RNAcentral is "partial internal transcibed spacer 1". The record is from RNAcentral. Lineage: Eukaryota; Ciliophora; Litostomatea; Haptorida; Lacrymariidae.